CCUACGGGUGGCAGCAGUGAGGAAUAUUGGUCAAUGGGCGGGAGCCUGAACCAGCCAAGUCGCGUGAGGGAAGAAGGUACUGAGUAUUGUAAACCUCUUUUGCCAGGGGACAAAGUCGCCCACGGGUGGGCGUAAGAGGGUACCUGGAGAAAAAGCAUCGGCUAACUCCGUGCCAGCAGCCGCGGUAAUACGGAGGAUGCGAGCGUUAUCCGGAUUUAUUGGGUUUAAAGGGUGCGUAGGCGGCGUGUCAAGUCAGCGGUGAAAGUCUGUGGCUCAACCAUAGUAAAGCCGUUGAAACUGGGGGGCUUGAGUAGGUGAGAGGCAGGCGGAAUGCGUGGUGUAGCGGUGAAAUGCUUAGAUAUCACGCAGAACCCCGAUUGCGAAGGCAGCCUGCCGAGCCAUGACUGACGCUGAUGCACGAAAGCGUGGGGAUCGAACAGGAUUAGAUACCCUAGUAGUC
This 460-nucleotide ribosomal RNA is filed under the name uncultured bacterium. RNAcentral's name for it is "partial 16S ribosomal RNA". It matches the Rfam family "Bacterial small subunit ribosomal RNA", at positions 338 to 795 of the family's 1533-position model. The record is from RNAcentral.